CGGAGUGAGUAAUGUCUGGGAAACUGCCUGAUGGAGGGGGAUAACUACUGGAAACGGUAGCUAAUACCGCAUAAUGUCUGCGGACCAAAGCGGGGGACCUCCGGGCCUCGCGCCAUCAGAUGAACCCAUAUGGGAUUAGCUUGUAGGUAAGGUAACGGCUUACCUAGGCGACGAUCCCUAGCUGGUCUGAGAGGAUGAUCAGCCACACUGGGACUGAGACACGGCCCAG
RNAcentral lists this ribosomal RNA (229 nucleotides) under uncultured bacterium. Its description in RNAcentral is "partial 16S ribosomal RNA". It matches the Rfam family "Bacterial small subunit ribosomal RNA", at positions 104 to 334 of the family's 1533-position model. The record is from RNAcentral.